GCUUAGAGUUUGAUCCUGGCUCAGGAUGAACGCUGGCGGUAUGCUUAACACAUGCAAGUCGAACGGAGUACUUCGGUACUUAGUGGCGGACGGGUGAGUAACGCGUGAGAAUCUGCCUUCGGGAUGGGGAUAACAGUGGGAAACCAUUGCUAAUACCCAAUGAGCCGAGAGGUAAAAAAUUUAUUGCCUGAAGAGGAGCUCGCGUCCGAUUAGGUAGUUGGUGGGGUAAAGGCUUACCAAGACGGCGAUCGGUAGCUGGUCUGAGAGGAUGAGCAGCCACGCUGGGACUGAGACACGGCCCAUACUCCUACGGGAGGCAGCAGUGGGGAAUUUUCCGCAAUGGGCGAAAGCCUGACGGAGCAAUACCGCGUGAGGGAGGAAGGCCUUUGGGUUGUAAACCUCUUUUCUUAAGGAAGAAGAUCUGACGGUACUUAAGGAAUCAGCAUCGGCUAACUCCGUGCCAGCAGCCGCGGUAAUACGGAGGAUGCAAGCGUUAUCCGGAAUUAUUGGGCGUAAAGCGUCCGCAGGCGGCACUAUAAGUCUGCUGUCAAAGACCGCAGCUCAACUGCGUGAAAGGCAGUGGAGACUGUAGAGCUAGAGUACGGUAGGGGUAGAGGGAAUUCCCAGUGUAGCGGUGAAAUGCAUAGAGAUUGGAAAGAACACCAGUGGCGAAAGCGCUCUACUGGGCCGUAACUGACACUCACGGACGAAAGCUAAGCGAGCGAAAGGGAUUACAUACCCCUGUAGUCCUAGCUGUAAACGAUGCAUACUAGGCGUAGCUUGUAUCGA
This 789-nucleotide ribosomal RNA is filed under the name uncultured bacterium. RNAcentral describes it as "bacterial SSU rRNA". It matches the Rfam family "Bacterial small subunit ribosomal RNA", at positions 1 to 835 of the family's 1533-position model. The record is from RNAcentral.